AGGACGAACGCUGGCGGCGUGCUUAACACAUGCAAGUCGAGCGGAAAGGCCCUUCGGGGUACUCGAGCGGCGAACGGGUGAGUAACACGUGAGCAACCUGCCCUUAGCUCUGGGAUAGCUCCGGGAAACCGGAAUUAAUACCGGAUAUGACCUAGGCCGACAUCGGCCGCGGUGGAAAGUUUUUCGGCUAGGGAUGGACUCGCGGCCUAUCAGCUAGUUGGUGGGGUAAUGGCCUACCAAGGCGACGACGGGUA
This 254-nucleotide ribosomal RNA is filed under the name uncultured bacterium. RNAcentral describes it as "partial small subunit ribosomal RNA". It matches the Rfam family "Bacterial small subunit ribosomal RNA", at positions 26 to 285 of the family's 1533-position model. The record is from RNAcentral.